This 760-nucleotide ribosomal RNA is filed under the name uncultured Proteinivoraceae bacterium. RNAcentral's name for it is "bacterial SSU rRNA". It matches the Rfam family "Bacterial small subunit ribosomal RNA", at positions 93 to 885 of the family's 1533-position model. The record is from RNAcentral. Lineage: Bacteria; Bacillati; Bacillota; Clostridia; Eubacteriales; Proteinivoracaceae.
UAGUGGCGGACGGGUGAGUAACACGUGGGCAACCUGCCCUACAGCCUGGGAUACCAUCGGGAAACUGAUGUUAAUACCGGAUACGCUCUUUUGAUCGCAUGAUCUAAGGAGGAAAGAUUUAUCGCUGUAGGAUGGGCCCGCGGUCCAUUAGCUAGUUGGUAGGGUAACGGCCUACCAAGGCGACGAUGGAUAGCUGGUCUGAGAGGACGAUCAGCCACACUGGGACUGAGACACGGCCCAGACUCCUACGGGAGGCAGCAGUGGGGAAUAUUGCGCAAUGGGGGCAACCCUGACGCAGCAAUGCCGCGUGAAGGAUGAAGGCUUUCGGGUCGUAAACUUCUGUCUAGAGGGAUGAAAUUUUGACAGUACCUCUGGAGGAAGCCCCGGCUAACUACGUGCCAGCAGCCGCGGUAAUACGUAGGGGGCAAGCGUUGUCCGGAAUCACUGGGCGUAAAGCGCGCGUAGGUGGUCUAGUAAGUCAGAUGUUAAAAUGCGGGGCUCAACCCCGUAAUGCAUUUGAAACUGCUGGACUUGAGGACAGGAGAGGAAAGUGGAAUUCCUAGUGUAGCGGUGAAAUGCGUAGAUAUUAGGAGGAACACCAGUGGCGAAGCGACUUUCUGGACUGUACCUGACACUGAGUGCGAAGCGUGGGGAGCAACAGGAUAGAUACCUGUAGUCACGCGUAACGAUGGUACUAGUGUAGGGGUUAGAUACCCUCUGUGACGCAGUUACGCAUUAAGUACCCGCUUGCGRAGUACGA